CCUACGGGUGGCAGCAGUGAGGAAUAUUGGUCAAUGGCCGAGAGUCUGAACCAGCCAAGUAGCGUGAAGGAUGACUGCUCUAUGGGUUGUAAACUUCUUUUAUAUGGGAAUAAAAUGUUCCACGUGUGGGAUUUUGUAUGUACCAUAUGCAUAAGCAUCGGCUAACUCCGUGCCAGCAGCCGCGGUAAUACGGAGGAUCCGAGCGUUAUCCGGAUUUAUUGGGUUUAAAGGGUGCGUAGGUGGAUUGUUAAGUCAGUUGUGAAAGUUUGCGGCUCAACCGUAAAAUUGCAGUUGAAACUGGCAGUCUUGAGUACAGUAGAGGUGGGCGGAAUUCGUGGUGUAGCGGUGAAAUGCUUAGAUAUCACGAAGAACUCCGAUUGCGAAGGCAGUUCACUGGACUGCAACUGACACUGAGGCUCGAAAGUGUGGGUAUCAAACAGGAUUAGAUACCCGAGUAGUC
Molecule: ribosomal RNA, 460 nt
Filed under: uncultured bacterium
Lineage: Bacteria
Description: partial 16S ribosomal RNA
Rfam family: Bacterial small subunit ribosomal RNA
Source: RNAcentral